CUNCAUUAAAACANGUUAUAGUCCACUUGAUAUUGAAACUUACAUGGAUAACCGUAKUAAUUCUASAGCUAAYACAUGCGUUACGCCGAUGUCAAAGUCGSCAGUAUUUAGAUAACUAAAUCGCUAUUCCUUUCAGGUCUAUUUGAUGAUUCAGUCUAACUUAUCGGAUCGCUGCUUAUGCUGSGAUAGAUCAUUCGAGUYUCUGCCCCAUCAG
RNAcentral lists this ribosomal RNA (214 nucleotides) under uncultured alveolate. Its description in RNAcentral is "partial 18S ribosomal RNA". It matches the Rfam family "Eukaryotic small subunit ribosomal RNA", at positions 99 to 320 of the family's 1831-position model. The record is from RNAcentral.